GAUGAACGCUGGCGGCGUGCUUAACACAUGCAAGUCGAACGGAAAGGCUCCUGCUUGCAGGGGUACUCGAGUGGCGAACGGGUGAGUAACACGUGGGUGAUCUGCCCUGCACUUCGGGAUAAGCCUGGGAAACUGGGUCUAAUACCGGAUAGGACGAUGGUUUGGAUGCCAUUGUGGAAAGUUUUUCGGUGUGGGAUGAGCUCGCGGCCUAUCAGCUUGUUGGUGGGGUAAUGGCCUACCAAGGCGUCGACGGGUAGCCGGCCUGAGAGGGUGUACGGCCACAUAGGGACUGAGAUACGGCCCAGACUCCUACGGGAGGCAGCAGUGGGGAAUAUUGCACAAUGGGCGCAAGCCUGAUGCAGCGACGCCGCGUGGGGGAUGACGGCCUUCGGGUUGUAAACUCCUUUCGCUAGGGACGAAGCGCAAGUGACGGUACCUGGAGAAGAAGCACCGGCUAACUACGUG
Molecule: ribosomal RNA, 465 nt
Filed under: uncultured bacterium
Lineage: Bacteria
Description: partial 16S ribosomal RNA
Rfam family: Bacterial small subunit ribosomal RNA
Source: RNAcentral